This 276-nucleotide ribosomal RNA is filed under the name uncultured Eubacteriales bacterium. RNAcentral's name for it is "uncultured Clostridiales bacterium partial 16S ribosomal RNA". It matches the Rfam family "Bacterial small subunit ribosomal RNA", at positions 62 to 339 of the family's 1533-position model. The record is from RNAcentral. Lineage: Bacteria; Bacillati; Bacillota; Clostridia; Eubacteriales.
UCGAUUUCUUCGGAUUGAAAUUUUAGUGACUGAGUGGCGGACGGGUGAGUAACGCGUGAGGAACCUGCCUUUCAGAGGGGGACAACAGUUGGAAACGGCUGCUAAUACCGCAUAAGCGCACAGCAUCGCAUGAUGCAGUGUGAAAAACUCCGGUGGUAUAAGAUGGACCCGCGUUGGAUUAGCUAGUUGGUGAGGUAACGGCCCACCAAGGCGACGAUCCAUAGCCGACCUGAGAGGAAGGUCCCCACAUUGGAACUGAGACACGGUCCAAACUCC